CAUAAAGAAGGAUCUAGAGUUCCCAGAAGUACACGUGUCUGUUGAGGGGAGAGGUCCACACAUGCAUCCAGCGCUGUAAUAAGCAUACCAGCUUUACAACUUUCACAAAGGUUGUGGACUUUGCUUAUUUCUGCAAAUCACUUUGGCGAGCCAGGCAGGAGACCGUCUCUGUCUUCGCAGGGGUAGAAGGGGAGACGGACCUCCUGAGGCAUGCCCCGGGAUUUUCCCAGAGGAGCUCCACUAAUAUCAGCUUGCCUCCUGCAGAGACAGAGAAGGACCUGGAGUGCGGAAGGAUACGCUAUUACAGGGCACAGUUAAAUGGAAGAAAAUACCAGCACAGCAAACACAAACAAACUCCAAUAUUUACCACAGAGAAGUUCUUAAAGCCAUCAUUUCAGUCAUCUGAGACCAGCAGCAGUUUGGAAAACAUCCCCACGAAGAUGGGCUGCAGGAACACAGAGAUGAUACACAUUCUCCACAGGAAGUUCUCAGGUGUUGCAAAUACUAUGAAGAGAAAGCUGCAGAGUGCACUGAAAUUCAAGGUGACACCAGAAGGACUGCAGCGCACAGUUUUCCACACACCCUAGGGAAAACUAAGUAGCUGGCUUUUCAGUCCAGGAGGAAUGAUGCAAAAACAUUUCCACACUGUUACAAGACACAUACACAAUAAUAAAAGCUGAUUUUGU
Motacilla alba alba is the source of this 686-nucleotide long non-coding RNA. RefSeq lists it as uncharacterized. NCBI's taxonomy places the organism in Eukaryota, Metazoa, Chordata, Aves, Passeriformes, Motacillidae. The record is from RefSeq and is a predicted model, not a curated record. The transcript has 3 exons.